Long non-coding RNA from Equus caballus (horse), 1530 nucleotides. Lineage: Eukaryota; Metazoa; Chordata; Mammalia; Perissodactyla; Equidae. The record is from Ensembl.
AUGCCAUCAUCAAGGCACUACCAUUCUGGUAGAAUUUACUCACCAACUGGUUCAUCUGAUCAGUGGACUGGCACAUCAGGGCAAUGGUUUUCAAGAGAUGUGAACGUCCAGAUAUACGCUCUGAGUAGUGGGCCGGAAGAUGCCACAUCAUUCCCAAUACUAUGCUGUCUCUAACACAACUGAAAUGGGGUGCACCACAGAGCAGAUCACUCAUAAUGGGCCACUUACUGAACACUUGUCACCUGGACACAAAUGAGAAAUGAGAAGACGGAGGAGAUUUUGCCCUUCUUCACCCAUGAAGGAUCCUAAUGAUGCCCACAUUCCAGCCAAGAAAGAAGAUCACCAAAUUAUCAGAAAAAUCUUCUCUGGAUUCUUCUGAAGAGCUAAGUGAACACCGCAGUGGAUUUCAGCCACCGUCCCACACCUACAAGAUGUCAAAAGCGCCAAAUCCCAGAGCCUAAUGGGACCUCUGCAGUAGCCAACAUCCCAUAUGCAUAAAAGAACCUUAUAUAGUAGUAUCUCCCCAGCAAAGGGACUGUUCUUGGAAGCCAAACCAUGCUGCUUCUAGAUCCGUAUCCAUUAUCAGCAGUAGAGGAGACAGAGACAGUGCUAGGAGGAGGAAGGACUUAGAGAAAAAGGAGGAGAGCAAUAGAGAAAGGCAUCUGAGUUCCUGUUUAUACCAGUUAUCAGUGAACUUAAUAUACCAAUGAAUUUAAAAUGCACUCGGGGGAAGUUUCCCAUAAAUAGGUUAACUGCAAAAAUAUUCCCACAAGUAGUCAGACUGCCUCCUCUGAGGACAGUGCCUUCAGAAACACUCUUUUUCUGACUAACUUUAGAAACUCUAAAUGCCAGCAACUCUAGCCUGCGGGUCUUCCCCAAGGCCUUCUUACUCUCUUUAGCAUCCUUGAUAAAUAUUUAAAGAACGCUUUCUUAACCUUUCUCUUUGGCUUCUGCAUUCUUGAUACCUUAAUUCUGAAUUGAAAAAGAUCUCUGGUCUAGGACAAUCUUUCUGCCCGUGAGCGUUUGUAACAGAAAGCUCUCCAAGCUAUGCCCAUGGCUUUGCGUUUCCUGGGAAAGGAGGGAGAAAGGAAAAGCAAAUGUUUCAUUCAUCAGUGUCUAAAAGGCCCAACCUGAGCCUCUCAGGAUCUCUGCCUCUUCCAGGGCAAGUCUGCUUGGCCCCAGAGGGAUCUGUCUCCCUCCAACCAGAUGAGAUGCACGGAAUCUAUGGUCCACCAGACAGUACUUAAGGAUGCUGCCUUGCCCAACCUGUGAACAAGCCUCUCUCCAAAACUUUCCUCUCUUGAAUAAAAGUGUGUCAAUGAAUUGUGCAGCCACCAUUCAACUUGGGGCUCCUGAGGGACCAAGUGUCCAGUGAACACUUUGAGAUUUGGUUUGCUGAGAAAUGCCAGAUUCUAAGAAAAUGGGACUUUGGCAGGAUCCCAAGUCCUCAAUGGGCUAACAUAGCCACAGCCCAGUAAAUUUCUGGGAAAAAUUAAUGCAAUGGGACACUAAAGACAAAAAUGCACGCUG